ACGGGUGAGUAAUGCCUAGGAAUCUGCCUAGUAGUGGGGGACAACGUUUCGAAAGGAACGCUAAUACCGCAUACGUCCUACGGGAGAAAGUGGGGGAUCUUCGGACCUCACGCUAUUAGAUGAGCCUAGGUCGGAUUAGUUAGUUGGUAGGGUAAAGGCCUACCAAGGCGACGAUCCGUAACUGGUCUGAGAGGAUGAUCAGUCACACUGGAACUGAGACACGGUCCAGACUCCUACGGGAGGCAGCAGUGGGGAAUAUUGGACAAUGGGCGAAAGCCUGAUCCAGCCAUGCCGCGUGUGUGAAGAAGGCCCUCGGGUCGUAAAGCACUUUAAGUUGGGAGGAAGGGCUUACAGCGAAUACCUGUGAGUUUUGACGUUACCGACAGAAUAAGCACCGGCUAACUUCGUGCCAGCAGCCGCGGUAAUACGAAGGGUGCAAGCGUUAAUCGGAAUUACUGGGCGUAAAGCGCGCGUAGGUGGCUUGAUAAGUUGGAUGUGAAAUCCCCGGGCUCAACCUGGGAACUGCAUCCAAAACUGUCUGGCUAGAGUGUGGUAGAGGGUAGUGGAAUUUCCAGUGUAGCGGU
RNAcentral lists this ribosomal RNA (584 nucleotides) under uncultured bacterium. RNAcentral's name for it is "bacterial SSU rRNA". It matches the Rfam family "Bacterial small subunit ribosomal RNA", at positions 102 to 682 of the family's 1533-position model. The record is from RNAcentral.